This 814-nucleotide ribosomal RNA is filed under the name uncultured Clostridium sp. RNAcentral describes it as "bacterial SSU rRNA". It matches the Rfam family "Bacterial small subunit ribosomal RNA", at positions 28 to 831 of the family's 1533-position model. The record is from RNAcentral. Lineage: Bacteria; Bacillati; Bacillota; Clostridia; Eubacteriales; Clostridiaceae.
GAUGAACGCUAGCGGCAGGCUUAACACAUGCAAGUCGAGGGGCAGCACGGGUAGCAAUAGUCUGGUGGCGACCGGCGCAAGGGUGCGUAACGCGUGAGCAACAUGCCCGUAUCAGGGGGAUAAUCCAGGGAAACUUGGUCUAAUACCCCAUAGCAAUUAUUUGAGGCAUCUUAAAUAAUUUAAAGCUUUGGUGGAUACGGAUUGGCUCGCGUGACAUUAGCUAGAUGGUAAGGUAACGGCUUACCAUGGCUACGAUGUCUAGGGGUUCUGAGAGGAAGAUCCCCCACACUGGAACUGAGACACGGUCCAGACUCCUACGGGAGGCAGCAGUGAGGAAUAUUGGACAAUGGAUGGAAAUCUGAUCCAGCCAUGCCGCGUGCAGGAAGACGGCCCUAUGGGUUGUAAACUGCUUUUGUAUGGGAGCAAUAAGGUCUAUGCGUAGACUCGAUGAGAGUACCAUACGAAUAAGCAUCGGCUAACUCCGUGCCAGCAGCCGCGGUAAUACGGGGGAUGCAAGCGUUAUCCGGAUUUAUUGGGUUUAAAGGGUGCGUAGGCGGUUUGCAUAAGUCAGCGGUGAAAUAUUUCAGCCUUAACUGAAAGGGUGCCGUUGAUACUGUCUAGGCUUGAAUAUGGUUGCUGUGGGUGGAAUGUGUGGUGUAGCGGUGAAAUGCUUAGAUAUCACACAGAAUAUCGAUUGCGAAGGCAGCUCACAAAGCCAUUAUUGACGCUGAUGCACGAAAGUGUGGGGAUCAAACAGGAUUAGAUACCCUGGGUAGUCCACACUGUAAACGAUGAUAACUCGCUGUCGGCGAUA